AUUGAACGCUGGCGGCAGGCCUAACACAUGCAAGUCGAGCGCGAAAGUUCUUCGGAAUGAGUAAAGCGGCGGACGGGUGAGUAAUACAUGGGAAUCUGCCUGGUAGUGGGGGACAACGUUUCGAAAGGAACGCUAAUACCGCAUACGUCCUACGGGAGAAAGCAGGGGACCUUCGGGCCUUGCGCUAAUAGAUGAGCCUA
Molecule: ribosomal RNA, 200 nt
Filed under: uncultured bacterium
Lineage: Bacteria
Description: partial 16S ribosomal RNA
Rfam family: Bacterial small subunit ribosomal RNA
Source: RNAcentral